UGAGCAACCUACCGAAAUGUGGGGGAUAGCCGGCCUAACGGCCGAGUAAUACCGCAUACGCUCUCGAUGAGGCAUUUCAUUGAGAGGAAACCUACGGGACAUUUCGAGGGGCUCGCGGCCUAUCAGCUUGUUGGCGAGGUAACGGCUCACCAAGGCAACGACGGGUAGCUGGUCUGAGAGGAUGGCCAGCCACAUUGGGACUGAGAUACGGCCCAGACUCCGUACGGGAGCAG
This 233-nucleotide ribosomal RNA is filed under the name uncultured bacterium. RNAcentral's name for it is "partial 16S ribosomal RNA". It matches the Rfam family "Bacterial small subunit ribosomal RNA", at positions 118 to 347 of the family's 1533-position model. The record is from RNAcentral.